UGGGGAAUAUUGGACAAUGGGCGCAAGCCUGAUCCAGCCAUGCCGCGUGUGUGAAGAAGGCCUUUUGGUUGUAAAGCACUUUAAGCGAGGAGGAGGCUACUUGGAUUAAUACUCUAGGAUAGUGGACGUUACUCGCAGAAUAAGCACCGGCUAACUCUGUGCCAGCAGCCGCGGUAAUACAGAGGGUGCGAGCGUUAAUCGGAUUUACUGGGCGUAAAGCGUGCGUAGGCGGCUUCUUAAGUCGGAUGUGAAAUCCCUGAGCUUAACUUAGGAAUUGCAUUCGAUACUGGGAAGCUAGAGUAUGGGAGAGGAUGGUAGAAUUCCAGGUGUAGCAGUGAAAUGCGUAGAGAUCUGGAGGAAUACCGAUGGCGAAGGCAGCCAUCUGGCCUAAUACUGACGCUGGGGUACGAAAGCAUGGGGAGCAAACAGG
RNAcentral lists this ribosomal RNA (430 nucleotides) under Bacillota bacterium. RNAcentral's name for it is "Firmicutes bacterium partial 16S ribosomal RNA". It matches the Rfam family "Bacterial small subunit ribosomal RNA", at positions 355 to 776 of the family's 1533-position model. Lineage: Bacteria; Bacillati; Bacillota. The record is from RNAcentral.